RNAcentral lists this long non-coding RNA (273 nucleotides) under Gossypium raimondii (Peruvian cotton). RNAcentral's name for it is "long non-coding RNA (GRAI_LNC001521)". The record is from RNAcentral. Lineage: Eukaryota; Viridiplantae; Streptophyta; Magnoliopsida; Malvales; Malvaceae.
UUUUUCCCAUUCUUUCCAUUUUCUUCUCCAACUUAUUUAGAUCGUUGCAUGCAUGUUGAAGGAGGAAACUUGGAUCUCUUUGGUUCUAUUUUGUUUUGUUCCUUUUUGUUUUUCCUUUUUCCAUUUCUUUGUUUUUUUUAUUUGAAAGAAAAUAUGUUUAGAAAAGGAUAUAGAGAAAUUCGAAUAUGAAAAAAAAAUUGAAAAAGUUUUUGUUUUAUUUGGAAUAAUAUUUUUUUUUUAAAAGGAUCAAAGGUGGUUGUGUAUACCGGCCAC